RNAcentral lists this ribosomal RNA (2263 nucleotides) under Klebsiella pneumoniae. RNAcentral's name for it is "partial 23S ribosomal RNA". It matches the Rfam family "Bacterial large subunit ribosomal RNA", at positions 596 to 2839 of the family's 2925-position model. Lineage: Bacteria; Pseudomonadati; Pseudomonadota; Gammaproteobacteria; Enterobacterales; Enterobacteriaceae. The record is from RNAcentral.
ACUGCGUACCUUUUGUAUAAUGGGUCAGCGACUUAUAUUCUGUAGCAAGGUUAACCGUAUAGGGGAGCCGCAGGGAAACCGAGUCUUAACUGGGCGUUAAGUUGCAGGGUAUAGACCCGAAACCCGGUGAUCUAGCCAUGGGCAGGUUGAAGGUUGGGUAACACUAACUGGAGGACCGAACCGACUAAUGUUGAAAAAUUAGCGGAUGACUUGUGGCUGGGGGUGAAAGGCCAAUCAAACCGGGAGAUAGCUGGUUCUCCCCGAAAGCUAUUUAGGUAGCGCCUCGUGAACUCAUCUUCGGGGGUAGAGCACUGUUUCGGCUAGGGGGUCAUCCCGACUUACCAACCCGAUGCAAACUACGAAUACCGAAGAAUGUUAUCACGGGAGACACACGGCGGGUGCUAACGUCCGUCGUGAAGAGGGAAACAACCCAGACCGCCAGCUAAGGUCCCAAAGUCAUGGUUAAGUGGGAAACGAUGUGGGAAGGCACAGACAGCCAGGAUGUUGGCUUAGAAGCAGCCAUCAUUUAAAGAAAGCGUAAUAGCUCACUGGUCGAGUCGGCCUGCGCGGAAGAUGUAACGGGGCUAAACCAUGCACCGAAGCUGCGGCAGCGACACUAUGUGUUGUUGGGUAGGGGAGCGUUCUGUAAGCCUGCGAAGGUGUGCUGUGAGGCAUGCUGGAGGUAUCAGAAGUGCGAAUGCUGACAUAAGUAACGAUAAAGCGGGUGAAAAGCCCGCUCGCCGGAAGACCAAGGGUUCCUGUCCAACGUUAAUCGGGGCAGGGUGAGUCGACCCCUAAGGCGAGGCCGAAAGGCGUAGUCGAUGGGAAACAGGUUAAUAUUCCUGUACUUGGUGUUACUGCGAAGGGGGGACGGAGAAGGCUAUGUUAGCCGGGCGACGGUUGUCCCGGUUUAAGCAUGUAGGCUGGUUGUCCAGGCAAAUCCGGAUAAUCAAGGCUGAGGUGUGAUGACGAGGCACUACGGUGCUGAAGUAACAAAUGCCCUGCUUCCAGGAAAAGCCUCUAAGCAUCAGGUAACAUCAAAUCGUACCCCAAACCGACACAGGUGGUCAGGUAGAGAAUACCAAGGCGCUUGAGAGAACUCGGGUGAAGGAACUAGGCAAAAUGGUGCCGUAACUUCGGGAGAAGGCACGCUGGUGUGUAGGUGAAGCCCCUGCGGGUGGAGCUGAGACCAGUCGAAGAUACCAGCUGGCUGCAACUGUUUAUUAAAAACACAGCACUGUGCAAACACGAAAGUGGACGUAUACGGUGUGACGCCUGCCCGGUGCCGGAAGGUUAAUUGAUGGGGUUAUCCGUAAGGAGAAGCUCUUGAUCGAAGCCCCGGUAAACGGCGGCCGUAACUAUAACGGUCCUAAGGUAGCGAAAUUCCUUGUCGGGUAAGUUCCGACCUGCACGAAUGGCGUAAUGAUGGCCAGGCUGUCUCCACCCGAGACUCAGUGAAAUUGAACUCGCUGUGAAGAUGCAGUGUACCCGCGGCAAGACGGAAAGACCCCGUGAACCUUUACUAUAGCUUGACACUGAACAUUGAGCCUUGAUGUGUAGGAUAGGUGGGAGGCUUUGAAGCGUGGACGCCAGUCUGCGUGGAGCCAACCUUGAAAUACCACCCUUUAAUGUUUGAUGUUCUAACGUUGGCCCCUGACCGGGGUUGCGGACAGUGUCUGGUGGGUAGUUUGACUGGGGCGGUCUCCUCCCAAAGCGUAACGGAGGAGCACGAAGGUUAGCUAAUCCUGGUCGGACAUCAGGAGGUUAGUGCAAUGGCAUAAGCUAGCUUGACUGCGAGCGUGACGGCGCGAGCAGGUGCGAAAGCAGGUCAUAGUGAUCCGGUGGUUCUGAAUGGAAGGGCCAUCGCUCAACGGAUAAAAGGUACUCCGGGGAUAACAGGCUGAUACCGCCCAAGAGUUCAUAUCGACGGCGGUGUUUGGCACCUCGAUGUCGGCUCAUCACAUCCUGGGGCUGAAGUAGGUCCCAAGGGUAUGGCUGUUCGCCAUUUAAAGUGGUACGCGAGCUGGGUUUAGAACGUCGUGAGACAGUUCGGUCCCUAUCUGCCGUGGGCGCUGGAGAAUUGAGGGGGGCUGCUCCUAGUACGAGAGGACCGGAGUGGACGCAUCACUGGUGUUCGGGUUGUCAUGCCAAUGGCACUGCCCGGUAGCUAAAUGCGGAAGAGAUAAGUGCUGAAAGCAUCUAAGCACGAAACUUGCCCCGAGAUGAGUUCUCCCUGAGACUUUAAGUCUCCUGAAGGAACGUU